UCGUAACAAGGUUUCCGUAGGUGAACCUUCGGAAGGAUCAUUAUAGAUUUAUUGAUACUUUGUGAAACAAAUGAUAAGCUUUAUGCGAAAUACUUUUUAUUAAUUUAGUCUAAUACGAAAAAAAUCAAAACCUUUAACAAUGGAUCUCUUGGUUCUCGUAUCGAUGAAGAACGCAGCAAAGCGCGAUAGAUAAUGUGAAUUGCAGACGUGAAUCAUUGAGUUUUUGAACGCACAUUGCACCUCUUUGGAGGUAUACUUGUGUGAGCGUCAUUUUUUCUCCACAUAUAUAUUAGUGGGUAAUGGUUCACUAUAUGGACUGAAAAAGAUUAUACACAGUUGUUAGACACAAGCUGUGGAAAAUUAUCAAAUUUUGACCUCAUAUCAAGUAAGAUCACCCGCUGAACUUAAGCAUAUCAAUAAGCGGAGGAAAAGAAACCAACAGGGAUUCCCUUAGUAACGGCGAGUGAACCGGGAAAAGCUCAAAUUUGAAAUCUGCCAACAGGCCGAGUUGUAAUUUGUAGAUGGCUACACUGCAUAAUAGUAGAUGCUCAAGUUCUUUGGAAAAAGACAUCAUGGAGGGUGACAAUCCCGUGAGGCAUGUUACUAGGAGCAUAUAGUGGGCUUUCUAAGAGUCGAGUUGUUUGGGAAUGCAGCUCA
This 657-nucleotide unclassified non-coding RNA is filed under the name Wickerhamiella pararugosa. RNAcentral describes it as "sequence contains 18S rRNA gene, ITS1, 5.8S rRNA gene, ITS2, 28S rRNA gene". The stretch from base 372 to 657 matches the Rfam family "Eukaryotic large subunit ribosomal RNA", at positions 1 to 289 of the family's 3401-position model. The record is from RNAcentral. Lineage: Eukaryota; Fungi; Ascomycota; Dipodascomycetes; Dipodascales; Trichomonascaceae.